Molecule: ribosomal RNA, 253 nt
Filed under: uncultured bacterium
Lineage: Bacteria
Description: partial 16S ribosomal RNA
Rfam family: Bacterial small subunit ribosomal RNA
Source: RNAcentral
GACGAACCGAGCGAACGUUGUUCGGAAUCACUGGGCUUAAAGGGCGCGUAGGCGGGCCUGCAAGUCAAGGGUGAAAGCCCCCGGCUCAACCGGGGAAGUGCCCCUGAUACUUCAGGCCUCGAGGGAGGUAGGGGCGUGCGGAACUUCCGGUGGAGCGGUGAAAUGCGUAGAUAUCGGAAGGAACACCGGUGGCGAAAGCGGCGCGCUGGACCUCUUCUGACGCUGAGGCGCGAAAGCCAGGGGAGCGAACGGG